Neurospora crassa OR74A is the source of this 1207-nucleotide non-coding RNA. The record is from RefSeq and is a predicted model, not a curated record. NCBI's taxonomy places the organism in Eukaryota, Fungi, Ascomycota, Sordariomycetes, Sordariales, Sordariaceae.
CACCUCAUGGCAGAAAAGACAAUUCCAGACUGGACCUUCUCUGCGUGAUGCCUCUCCAGACGACAUUCAACUCUCUCCACAACAUUCAGUGCUCUCCUUGUGAAGGAACCAAAAGACAUGUUCCUACCAGGCAUCAGAAUCAGACCCGAACGGACGAUCAACGGGUUGUGCAUUUCGGGUCUAACGACACCCCCGACGACGUCACUCAACAGUACAGUCUCGACCCCAUAUUAAUCCAUCUCGGAUCCUUGCGGCAUUGGAAUUGCAAGGCUCCAAAAGCCACCCCCAUUUCACAUGCUUACAUGUCUCAAAAGCAGAACAUGCCACCACCUUUGAAAUAAGCUCGUUCAAGGCUCCCAAGUUGAGACCUAACAGCCGGCCGCCUUAUUGGAAAAUGGGGUCCAGAAGUUGGACGAACGCAUGAUGAUGGCUUGAACUGAAUCUGGCCGCUUUGAACCUGACCCGACCCGACUGGACCGAAACAAAUUCCCAACCCAGCCAUCCAAGCCACAUUCAGGCGACGACGACAGGUCAAAAGAUCUGGUCUAAUCGGAACCCAAAACCGAAUCGAAAAUGGGGGGAGAGGGCACGGUCAAGAUGAGGUGUGGUUUACAACAUGGACUGGACCCUGUUUGUAUCCGUUGCAUAAAACACCCGCUAGUUCAGGUACUCGUUCCUGGAUGUGUAGAAGACGGACGACCAACCUCAAAAAGCCCUCCAAGUCCGCCUCCAGAUUGCAAUGCGAAUGUACAGAUAUCUUGAAGCGGUCAAGACAAGAAAAUACCUCUACAUAGGACACAAGGCAGGAAGGCAGGAAGGGCUGUAAGGAUAUACCCCUAACUGUCCCGUCGUGCCCUCUUCCCAUCCCCCUCCCCGGUGUCCCUGUCUUGAACUUAAAUCAUUCGAUCGCCCGAAACAGACCAGCCGAUCCGAUGAACCUACAGCGAGGCCGGCAAUCAUCGGCAACUCAGCCCGCUUGUUUCAAGCACAGCGUGUUUCAGACAUACAUGUAAGGUACACUGGCAACUAGGUACCUUACCUGUAGGUAGGUAUCCUGCCCGUUUGCUAAUUCGACUCUGGGCGUUGUGUAAUGGAAGUUGGAAGGAAAGGGGAUUCGGGGGGACUACAUGUUAUGGGGAACUGGUCACGCCAGAAAACUGCAUUGUUCAAUGUGCUUGAGUCUCUCCGUCGUCAAUUUUGUUUUCUU